RNAcentral lists this transfer-messenger RNA (459 nucleotides) under Vampirovibrionales. Its description in RNAcentral is "JAGQHJ01 sp020431915 Standard tmRNA". It matches the Rfam family "transfer-messenger RNA". From Rfam's summary of the family: Bacterial tmRNA, also known as 10Sa RNA or SsrA, is named for its dual tRNA and mRNA-like properties. Its role is to liberate the mRNA from a stalled ribosome. RNAcentral also lists the same sequence under 1 other name. Lineage: Bacteria; Bacillati; Candidatus Melainabacteria; Vampirovibriophyceae. The record is from RNAcentral.
GGGGACGAUUUGGAUUUGACAGGAUGAUUGGUAACGGUAUUCGGCGAGUCGGGGUGCUGUUCCCCGUUAUCAACAAGCAACUGGUAUAAAUGCCAACAACAACGUAGUUGCCUUAAGACCUAGCAACGUUAUCGAAGUAGACUUCGCCGCUCGCGCGCGCAAAGCUGCCUAGAUAAACCACUGCUAGGUUGUCCGUUCACUGCCACGCAGUGCGGUCGGCCCCAGCCAACGCUCCAGCAUGCCGAGCCUGGCUGGCCCUGAUGUAUGCUAGCGCACCCCGAGGACACGUGAGGGUUCGCGAAACUUUCGUGUCGGCCCCGGCGGGGGUUUAAUCACGCUUGGUGCAGGUUUUAGCGCCGGUGCGACACUGGCCUGCAUGACGAUAAUUCACACCUACACUCGUAGAUGACUACUGGUUGCCCAUUUUGGACGCGGGUUCGACUCCCGCCGUCUCCACCA